Molecule: long non-coding RNA, 2858 nt
Organism: Hypanus sabinus (Atlantic stingray)
Lineage: Eukaryota; Metazoa; Chordata; Chondrichthyes; Myliobatiformes; Dasyatidae
Exons: 4
Source: RefSeq, a predicted model, not a curated record
AGUGGGAUCCCAUUGGAGGUGGCGGAAGUUACGGAGAAUUAUAUGUUGGACCUGGAGGCUGGUGGGGUGGUAGGUAAGGACAAGGGGAACCCUAUCCCGAGAGGGGUGGCGGGUGGAUGGGGUGAGGGCAGAUGUGAGGGAAAUGGGAGAGAUGUGUUUGAGAGCAGAGUUGAUGGUGGACGAAGGGAAGCCCCUUUGCUUAAAAAAGGAAGACAUCUCCUUCAUCCUGGAAAGAAAAGCCUCAUCCUGAGAGCAGAUGCAGCGGAGACGGAAGAAUUGUCAGAAGGGGAUAGCCUUUUUGCAAGAGACAGGGUGGGAAGAGGAAUAGUCCAGGUAGCUGUGAGAGUCUGCAGGCUUAUAGUAGAUAUCAGUAGAUAGGCCGUCUCCUGAGAUGGAGACAAGAAAGGGGAGGGAGAUGUCGGAAAUGGACCAGGUAAAUUUGAGGGCAGGGUGAAAGUUGGAGGCAAAGUUAAUGAAGUCCUUUGUAAUCUGUAUUUGGUCCAAGACCUCACCCCACUGUUUUGUUUCUCUUAUAGACACCGUGUCCAUCUCCUGAUUAAAUAUAGAUGCAAAAAUUCCAUUCAAGAUUCCCCCUCCCCCCAUUCUUUUUUGAUUCCUUGCAUAGAUGACCACUCUGAUCUUCAAGUGAACCAAUUUUUUCCUUUGCUAUCCUUUUGCUCUGAAUUUAUCUGUAGAAGCCCUUGGGAUUCUCCUUCACCUUGUCUGCUAGAGCAACCUCAUGCUUUUUUUAGCCCUGCUGAUUCCAUUUAUGGAAUGUUCUCUUGCAUUUCUUAUUCUCAAGUACCUCAAUUUUUCCUUCCUACCUAUACUUGCUAUUCUCUUCUUUUUCUUCAUAACCAGAGCUAAAAUAACCUUCAUACAAAGGUUCCCUAAAUCUGUUAUCCCUGCCCUUUAUUCUGACCAGAACAUACAAAAGGACUGAAAAAUGGAAAGCUGCAGUGUGCAACAACUUCUACUGUGAUCACAGUUACUCCAGGCCAGUCCUCCAGAUAAUAGGCCAACUCACGCUGACCCUGGCUACAACACCAGAGGGAGAAGGCUGACUGCAUUUUGCUGCAGUUUAAGGAAUCAAUCUUAAGCUGAACAAUUAUGGAUCAACGUGAUACCAUGUGGAUGCUUCUCUUCUGAACUCCCAAAUUAAUGGUUACAACGAUCAGACCAAGUAUUGCAAAAAGAAGGCUGGCUACAUUGGCUGUCAGGGGGGAAGUAGUACAAAGUAGUUUCUGGUGAAGAGAAUACAAACAAGAAUGGAAAGUCAGCUUGCAGACAAGUAUCAAAGUAGCGGAGCACCUAACCCAGUGGACAAUAUUAUGUGCAAGGAAACUCCGUGGUUGUGCAAUAUGUCAUUCAGCAGAGGACUAUAUACGUAUAUUUUGCUGCUGGAAUUGGUUCUGCCCCCUCCCUGUGUUCACCUGGCAGAAGACCGUACACAUGUGUAUUUCACAUGGUUGUGUUCUAUAUGUGUUUGUUACAUUGUAGAUGCGAGGACUGGGCCCCAAGCUGCUGUGUCACCUGGGCGAGAUGGCGGUGGGGAGGGAAGAUAUUGCGGUCAGUGUAUUCCACCAGAGGCAGUGGGGUCUAAGCUGAUGUCAGUGCUGCCUCCUAAGUGUUUGCUCAACAGACUAAAUAUUUUGUUGGGCUGGGUUGGGGGUGGUGUGGAGGGUGUCUGGACUACAUGUCCAUAUUUUGUGCGAUAAGAUUUUAAUGAUAUUCUAUAUGGGCUUGUUGUCCUCUAUAUGUGAAGACUGGGCUUCAAGCCACACCGUUGCCUGGGGAGUGGUGGGUGUGCUUUGGGGCCAGAGUGCUCCACCAGAGGUGAUGUGGCAUGGCAUAGGGUCAGUGCUGCCACCUAGUGUUCAAUGGUAUGGGUUUUGUUCUCUGGUAUUGUGUGAUUGGGAUACCAUGUGUGUUUUGUAUGAUUUUGGUACUGUAUAAGAUGAUGAGAGGAGUUGAUCAUGUGGUUAGCCAGAGGUUUUUUUCUCACGGCUGGAAUGGAAUGGAAGGGUAUAGUUUUAAGGUGCUUGGAAGUAGGAACAAGGGGAUGUUAGAGGUACAUUUUUCACACAGGGAGUGGUGGGUGCGUGGAAUCCCCAGCCAGUGAAGAUGGUGGAACAGAUACAAUAGGGUCUUUUAAGAGAUUCCUAGAUAGGUACACGGAGCUUAGGAAAAUAGAGGGCUAUGUAGUAGGGAGAUUCUAGGCAGUUUCUAGAGUAGGUUACAUGGUUGACACAACAUUGUGGGCCGAAGGGCCUGUAAUGUGCUGUAAAUUUCUAUGUUUCUAUGUAUUAAAGCCUCUUUCUGUUUGUUAAGAAGGUAUGGAGCUAAAAUUAAUCCAUGUCAAUAAUACAAAAAAUGCUGAGUGAAUCCUAAACUGCUUUACAGCAUGAUUAAAAUGUAUCUCAUUCUUUAAGACUCAUGUACUGAAGAUAGUCUUUUAAUGAAUUUUAUUAUUAUAUUUCCUUUUAUGUAUUUGUCCCAUACGAAGAACAAUAUGUUGCAUUAACACCGAAGGAUGUGCUUUGACUAGUCAUAAAGCAAAGUACUGGUCAGAAAAAUCUGAGAACACUUGGACAAGUCAUAACAUUAUACUUCAAUCUUUCCUUCAAGCGCAUUGUUGUUUCCAUAGCAGGCUGUGAUACAAUUAGUCAGUACUGUAUACUCCCCACCGCAUAUCUAUAGGAGUUUGUCAAAGUUUCAGCUGACGUGCAGAAUCUGCACAAACUUCUAAGGAAGUAGAGGUGCUGCAGUGCCUUCUUUCUAAUGCCAGUUACGUGCUGGACCCAGGACAGAUCCUCUGAAAUGAUAAUGCCAAGGAAUUUAAAGUUGCUGACCUCUGA